GACGAACGCUGGCGGCGCGCUUAACACAUGCAAGUCGAGCGGUAAGGCCUUCUGUGGUACAUGGGCUGCGAACGGGCGAGUAACACACGGGUGAUCUGCCCGUCACUUCUCGAUAAGCCUGGUAGGCAGAGUCUAAUACAGCAGAUGCUCUCUUACCGCAUGAUGGGUGGGGGAUGGCUUUGUUGGUGCAGGAUGUGCUCGCGGCCUAUCAGCAUGUUGGUGGGGUGCUGGCCUAUCAAGGCGUCGUCGGGUAGCCGACCUGAGAGGGUGACCGGCCACACUGGGACUGAGACACGGCCCAGACUCCGACGGGGAGCAGCAGUGAGGGAUAUGACACAAUGGGCGGAAGCCUGAUGCAGCGACGCCGCGUUUGGGAUUAUGGCCUUCUGGUGGUAAACCUCUUGCAGCAGGGAUGAAGGGCUAGUGACGGUAGCUGCAGAAGAAGCACCGGCUAACUACGUG
RNAcentral lists this ribosomal RNA (462 nucleotides) under uncultured bacterium. RNAcentral describes it as "partial 16S ribosomal RNA". It matches the Rfam family "Bacterial small subunit ribosomal RNA", at positions 28 to 507 of the family's 1533-position model. The record is from RNAcentral.